UACGUAGGGGGCAAGCGUUAUCCGGAAUUACUGGGUGUAAAGGGUGCGUAGGUGGUAUGGCAAGUCAGAAGUGAAAACCCAGGGCUUAACUCUGGGACUGCUUUUGAAACUGUCAGACUGGAGUGCAGGAGAGGUAAGCGGAAUUCCUAGUGUAGCGGUGAAAUGCGUAGAUAUUAGGAGGAACAUCAGUGGCGAAGGCGGCUUACUGGACUGAAACUGACACUGAGGCACGAAAGCGUGGGGAGCAAACAGG
This 253-nucleotide ribosomal RNA is filed under the name Anaerostipes hadrus ATCC 29173 = JCM 17467. Its description in RNAcentral is "Anaerostipes hadrus DSM 3319 partial 16S ribosomal RNA". It matches the Rfam family "Bacterial small subunit ribosomal RNA", at positions 524 to 776 of the family's 1533-position model. RNAcentral also lists the same sequence under 3 other names. Lineage: Bacteria; Bacillati; Bacillota; Clostridia; Lachnospirales; Lachnospiraceae. The record is from RNAcentral.